RNAcentral lists this transfer RNA (69 nucleotides) under Dipodomys ordii (Ord's kangaroo rat). It matches the Rfam family "tRNA". Rfam says of the family: Transfer RNA (tRNA) molecules are approximately 80 nucleotides in length. The record is from Rfam by way of RNAcentral. Lineage: Eukaryota; Metazoa; Chordata; Mammalia; Rodentia; Heteromyidae.
GGGAAACUGGCUUAGUGGUAGAGUGCUUGCCUUGCAUGUAUGAGGGCCUGAGUUCGAUCCUUAGUACCA